This 497-nucleotide ribosomal RNA is filed under the name uncultured bacterium. RNAcentral describes it as "partial 16S ribosomal RNA". It matches the Rfam family "Bacterial small subunit ribosomal RNA", at positions 28 to 507 of the family's 1533-position model. The record is from RNAcentral.
GAUGAACGCUGGCGGCGUGCCUAAUACAUGCAAGUCGAGUGAACGGACGAGAAGCUUGCUUCUCUGAUGUUAGCGGCGGACGGGUGAGUAACACGUGGAUAACCUACCUAUAAGACUGGGAUAACUUCGGGAAACCGGAGCUAAUACCGGAUAAUAUUUUGAACCGCAUGGUUCAAAAGUGAAAGACGGUCUUGCUGUCACUUAUAGAUGGAUCCGCGCUGCAUUAGCUAGUUGGUAAGGUAACGGCUUACCAAGGCAACGAUGCAUAGCCGACCUGAGAGGGUGAUCGGCCACCCUGGAACUGAGACACGGUCCAGACUCCUACGGGAGGCAGCAGUAGGGAAUCUUCCGCAAUGGGCGAAAGCCUGACGGAGCAACGCCGCGUGAGUGAUGAAGGUCUUCGGAUCGUAAAACUCUGUUAUUAGGGAAGAACAUAUGUGUAAGUAACUGUGCACAUCUUGACGGUACCUAAUCAGAAAGCCACGGCUAACUACGUG